RNAcentral lists this ribosomal RNA (831 nucleotides) under uncultured Lentisphaerota bacterium. RNAcentral's name for it is "bacterial SSU rRNA". It matches the Rfam family "Bacterial small subunit ribosomal RNA", at positions 64 to 916 of the family's 1533-position model. Lineage: Bacteria; Pseudomonadati; Lentisphaerota. The record is from RNAcentral.
GAACGUGCUCCCUUCGGGGAGAAAGUGGCGAAAGGGUGAGUAACACGUGAGCAACCUGCCUCCGGAUCCGGAAUAAUCCAGGGAAACUUGGUCUAAAACCGGAUGAAGACCUCGGGCCGCAUGGCCCUUGGUUAAAAUAUUCAUAGUCCGGAGAGGGGCUCGCGGCCCAUUAGCUUGUUGGCGGGGUAAGGGCCCACCAAGGCUACGACGGGUAGGUGGUCUGAGAGGAUGGUCACCCACACUGGGACUGAGACACUGCCCAGACUCCUACGGGAGGCUGCAGUCGAGAAUCUUCCGCAAUGGGCGCAAGCCUGACGGAGCGAUGCCGCGUGAGGGACGAAGGCCUUCGGGUCGUAAACCUCUGUCAUCCGGGACGAAAGCAAUGACGGUACCGGAAAAGGAAGCCACGGCUAACCACGUGCCAGCAGCCGCGGUAACACGUGGGUGGCGAGCGUUAUUCGGAUUUACUGGGCGUAAAGGGUCCGCAGGGGGCCUGCCGCGCCUGCCGUGAAAUUCCAAGGCUCAACCUUGGGCGUGCGGCGGGUACGGGCGGGCUAGAGUGCAAGAUGGGCAGACGGAAUUCCAGGUGUAGCGGUGGAAUGCGUAGAUAUCUGGAAGAACACCGACGGCGAAGGCGGUCUGCUGGCUUGCAACUGACCCUCAGGGACGAGAGCGUGGGUAGCAAACAGGAUUAGAUACCCUGGUAGUCCACGCCGUAAACGUUGUGUGCCAGAUGUGGGUGGGUUCGGCCCCAUCCGUGUCCAAGCUAACGCGGUAAGCACACCGCCUGGGGACUACGGCCGCAAGGCUAAAACUCAAAGGAAUUGACGG